Aedes aegypti (yellow fever mosquito) is the source of this 73-nucleotide non-coding RNA. The record is from Rfam. NCBI's taxonomy places the organism in Eukaryota, Metazoa, Arthropoda, Insecta, Diptera, Culicidae.
CCUCUCAUGGCGUAGUGGUAACGCGCCCCAACUAGAGAUCGGGGAGUCGUGAGUUCGAUUCUCACUGAGAAGC